UAGAAGAUAAAGGUUUUUAUUUUAAAAAAGGUAUGGUUUUGAAUUUAAAAAUAUUACAGUUUCAGAGAUCAAAGUCAUGGGAACCCUAAAGGACAAGGAGAGAAGAACAUGGAUACAAGUAGCCUGUAGCUACCUUCAGAGGGAGACAUAUUCAAGAAAGGGUAUAAGGUUUCUCUUUUCCUUCAUCCACUCCAAUGGAGAAUUGCAAUGUCCGUGUGACUUGGAUAGGGGUCCAGACUGUGUAAUUCCUAAUGAAUCAUCAUUCUAUCCCUGUUUGGAAACUUGGACCACUGAGAGAGUCAGAGUGAAGCCUGAGAGAUGGAAUGACAAAUGUCACAGGUAACAAUCCUAGCCCUGCCCUAACCAAAUUCCAACCUUUUUAGAUAGUAUAGCACUAUUUGUGUAGUUCUAAGAAAGCUGAAAAUGUUCCUUCUCUAACAGUACCAGGUGAAAGAUUUCAUGCUUUAUUAAACACAUUUAUAAAGCAUUUUGAGAUGAUAGAAAUCUUAAAUCAGCACUUAUUCAGCUUUUAACUUCCAGUAGUAUAGCUCCAAAAUUUCUUAAAAAUGACCUUGAUUUUUUCUUUUCUCUUUUUGGUGCUAAAAUCACUGAAGAUAACCACCCUUAAGGAAAAGUUAAAUGAUCGCUUUCCCUGUUAAAUUGGGACAGAAUUAAUUUCCUGCCUGUAGCCUUGAGCAAAAGGGCAAGUCAAGUGUCAGCCUGACCGUGUUUCUCUUGCUAUUUUCAGCACAAUUGGCAAGAGGGGUAAACAAAAACCUAGCAGCUACAAAAAGCUUCUCAAGGAGAAUCUUCUACACUCAGAACUCUGUUGGUAUUUAUUCUCUGCUCUCAUCAGUCAACUACUUAGAAUUUGGGGGAGUCUAUGCUGUGUUACACUGCGUACUCUGGGGAUAUAAUGAUAUAUGGAAUAGCUAUAUCCUCAAAAAGCUUAGCAUCUAACAAUCACAUGGGUAAAACAAUAAAUGUUACAAAGAUGGGAGGAAAUAAGUAUUU
This 1014-nucleotide long non-coding RNA is filed under the name Monodelphis domestica (gray short-tailed opossum). Its description in RNAcentral is "lncRNA (ENSMODG00000049169.1)". Lineage: Eukaryota; Metazoa; Chordata; Mammalia; Didelphimorphia; Didelphidae. The record is from RNAcentral.